AUUAUCAUCCAAGGCCAUAAUGUGAAUUUUGGUGGUGAGAAUUGAUUUGGUCCGAGAAUUCUGUGGACGCAUGGUGGAGGAUGCGAAGGUGGCGGAGGAAACAGAGAAGACACAGGAAACGAGGGAAACAGAGAAAACAGAAGAGAUAAAAUUGAGGUGUCAUGUUGGAGAUUGAAGUUUGGCGAAGUUUGUGAUCGAAUAAAUCGUGGCGUGCCUUUUCCGGCAAGGGAAUAAUUGAAUUGUGGAGUGAAGAAAUAAAAAACUGCAUCGUUUCCAUUUGCAGAAAAUCGAAUCGGAGAAAUGGAUGGAAUAGAAUAAUUACUGAAACACUCCUAUGGUUUUGUGUAAAUAACAUUUGAGUACAUAUUUUCUUUUUAUUUUUAUUUUUUAAAAAAAAAA
Long non-coding RNA from Jatropha curcas, 399 nucleotides. RefSeq lists it as uncharacterized. Lineage: Eukaryota; Viridiplantae; Streptophyta; Magnoliopsida; Malpighiales; Euphorbiaceae. The record is from RefSeq and is a predicted model, not a curated record.